RNAcentral lists this transfer RNA (88 nucleotides) under Gammaproteobacteria bacterium. RNAcentral's name for it is "tRNA-His". It matches the Rfam family "tRNA". From Rfam's summary of the family: Transfer RNA (tRNA) molecules are approximately 80 nucleotides in length. The record is from RNAcentral. Lineage: Bacteria; Pseudomonadati; Pseudomonadota; Gammaproteobacteria.
GUGGGCGUAGCGGGGCCGCGAAGCGGCAAGGUAGAGCCCCGGGUUGUGAUCCCGGUCGUCGUGGGUUCGAGUCCCAUCGUCCACCGCA